CAGUUUUUGCGGAGAGUUUGAUCCUGGCUCAGGAUGAACGCUGGCGGCGUGCCUAAUACAU
This 61-nucleotide ribosomal RNA is filed under the name Chloroflexota bacterium. Its description in RNAcentral is "Chloroflexi bacterium (anaerobic digester metagenome) partial 16S ribosomal RNA". The record is from RNAcentral. Lineage: Bacteria; Bacillati; Chloroflexota.